AAGUUUGGUUGCGAAAUGUUGUAAAAUAAGGAAAAUAUAGCCCUACGAAAUUUGCAAAUUUUGUAUUAAUUAAUUUUUGUUACGCACGGGAUAAUGCACUACUUUCGGCCCAACUGUGAUGCAUUUUCCCGCGCGUAAUACAAUUUAAUACAAAAUUUGCAAAUUUCGCAGGGCUAUAUUUCCCGCAUUUUACAACAUUUCGCAACCAAACUC
This is a non-coding RNA of Paramuricea clavata, 213 nucleotides long. The record is from the annotation of a GenBank genome assembly. Lineage: Eukaryota; Metazoa; Cnidaria; Anthozoa; Malacalcyonacea; Plexauridae.